RNAcentral lists this unclassified non-coding RNA (1945 nucleotides) under Hevea brasiliensis (rubber tree). The record is from RNAcentral. Lineage: Eukaryota; Viridiplantae; Streptophyta; Magnoliopsida; Malpighiales; Euphorbiaceae.
UAAAAAUCUGGAUUGCUUAUAUACCAAAUAAGAAAAAUAAAUUAUAUCCCAAAGAAAAAUAAAUUAUAUUCCAAAACUUACAUUCAAUUUCUAUUUUCAGAGUAAACCAAACGUGGCCCAACAAUCCAAGGCCGAGUCACACAAGGUAGGGAACUACCCAUCUUUGGAGAUCUCAAUUCCAUGAUAAUCUCAAUGAAGGAAAUCAACAACAAUCCAAAAAUUAACGGCUACAAUUUGGGUAGCCUCUUAUAGCCUCUUCUUGUUAUAAGAUGAUUUCCUCCUGCACACUACCGUUAAUGAUCUUAUUUGGAAGAACAAUACAGUUAGUAACAACAACUUCAUCUUCAACUGUCACAGCUUCUCCAAGAAUGGUUAUUCCAAGCUUUGUAUUGUAGUCUCCAUCAGCCUGGACUCUUGACCAUCUUCCUAGAGAUGAUUUCCAACCAAUAAUAGAAUGCAUAACAACUGCAUUUUCCUGAAUUUCAACAUCAUCUAAAAUAAUGCAACUUAUAAGCCUCACUCCUGCUCCUACACGAACAUUUGCUGAAACAGAGACAUUGGGGCCAAUCUGUAUCAUAAGCAACUAAUUAGUUAGAUGGUAAUAAAAGAGAGUAAAACAAAAAAAAACAGAAGGAUGGAUGAAGAAAGGAGAUUGCUGAAAAAUGGUCCCUUGAGUGAUUUCUAUUAUUUGUGCAAUUUCCUAACCCGCCUCCACUCCACAGACACUGGCUUUAUAUUAAUAAACUCAACAGACAAUUAAUCUAUAUAAUCAUAGGUCCCAAACCUUGCUUUCACCAUCCAUAUUCCACAAUCUCUCGCCCUAGUGCCUGCCCCAAAAGGUGAUUUUUGUGUUAAACUAGAAUGUUCAAUGGAACAUUUAAGUAAGAUAAGAAUUCUUUACUCAUUAUAAACAAUUGGAUCAUUAUGUAAGAAGACAAUUUUAAUUUCCAUUAUGUUCUGGCAUAUGGUGAUGGUCAUUACGUCUCACUAUAAGGAUGCUCAACAACUUGUUUUUGUUCCUCCUGGCUCCUGCCAGUCCAUCUAUGUUUAAUUUAUUAGGUGACUAAACUGCCAUAUCUAUCAAAACUACUUGUUCUACUCCAGAAGCUAAUCAAAAUUUUGUGCAGCACCCUCAUCAUUCUUUCUCCCAUUGGGUUGGAUGAGUGGAACUAGAGGAAAAUUCAACUAUAAACUAGUUUUAGAGUUCUAGUCAAGCAUUAGUCUCUUAGAAACAAACUUCAAACAUCCUAAAUAGUGUUUCUAUGACCCUAAACAUUGACAGCUAUCUCAAUACUUUCUUGCCACCAAUAACUUGAUCUGAAACUGAAAUCAUUAAAACUAAACUCGAUCAAUUAAUUCCAACCCAUGAUAAACAAUGGUAUGAUAGAAGUAAAAAAUUUCAUAAAGUUCAGUGACCAAAGUGAUUAGGCUAAUUAGCCAUAAGAACAAUAGGGAAACCCAAUUAAUAAAAACCAUGGUAGAAAGAUAUAACUGUGAAAAGAGAAUUUUAUAACAGUUAUGUAAAGAUCAGUUAUACCGUGCACGACACAAAGCCCUUUGGGCUGAGGGUUUCAAUUCCUAGGCAUGAAUAUAAACUAAACAAAGUCACUGAAUAUAAAUGAGGCCAGGUCUGGCAAUCAAGAUGGAAAGCCUGGCACACCUUUCUAAGGGAGCAUGAUUUUGACAGGUGGUUACAGAUAAAAUCACAAGAGCUGAAAGCCAAAAAUCGAGCAAAACAUGGCGUGACUAUUUGUAUACUUGUUUAGUAUAACUUCAUACUGUCACAGAAUAUUGCCAUGCUAAUGUAUGUUGGAAGAAAACAAAAGACCUUUGCAGUUGGGUGCACUUUUGCUGAUGGAUGAAUAUAAACAUCACCGAUAAUGCUCGCAUUCCUAGAUCCAUCCCCAGUGGCCAACAGAUGAGGAGAGGUAAAUUGAUAUUGGGA